UUCUUGUCAUUUAAAAUUUUUAUGGCAUGAUCUAAACUGCUUAAAAGAUUACUAUACAGUCAUUAUAAAAAGGAAAAGUGGAAGUGAAAACAGACUGCUGCUUUUCACCACACAAAAAUUUCAUCUGUCACAGAAAAAAAGCCUCAUGUAAUGUAAUGGAUGGAACGACUCAAUUGAUGUGAAGAGAUACCCUGACCAGGGCAACUUAUAGAAGCAUGACUUUAUCAGGGCUCACAGCUCAAAGGGUGAGUCCAUGGCCAUCAUGCAGAGGGAGCAUAAGAAACUUCUAGUCAACCUUGUUGGAUCCUUCUUUAAGAGAAGAGUUAAACAGAAGAGCUACUCUUCAAAAUAGGAAACGAAGGUCAUUGUUACCAGGCCUCAGUAAGAUCACAGUACUGCUGGCUCAUAAAGGGCAUGGAGAUGAACUAUUCUGGAGUUUCCAGACACCUGGACA
This is a long non-coding RNA of Mastomys coucha (southern multimammate mouse), 454 nucleotides long. RefSeq lists it as uncharacterized. Lineage: Eukaryota; Metazoa; Chordata; Mammalia; Rodentia; Muridae. The transcript has 4 exons. The record is from RefSeq and is a predicted model, not a curated record.